This 110-nucleotide ribosomal RNA is filed under the name uncultured eukaryote. RNAcentral describes it as "partial small subunit ribosomal RNA". It matches the Rfam family "Eukaryotic small subunit ribosomal RNA", at positions 1676 to 1785 of the family's 1831-position model. The record is from RNAcentral.
UCGCACCUACCGAUUGAAUGGUCCGGUGAGGCCUCGGGAUUGUGGCAAACUUUCUUCAUUGGAGGUGAGCCAUGAGAACUUGUCCAAAUCUUAUCAUUUAGAGGAAGGUG